This 406-nucleotide ribosomal RNA is filed under the name uncultured bacterium. RNAcentral's name for it is "partial 16S ribosomal RNA". It matches the Rfam family "Bacterial small subunit ribosomal RNA", at positions 30 to 526 of the family's 1533-position model. The record is from RNAcentral.
AUUGACCGCUGGCGGCAGGCCUAACACAUGCAAGUCGAACGAGUGGCGGACGGGUGAGACAUGUCUGGGAAACUGCCUGAUGGAGGGGGAUAACUACUGGAAACGGUAGCUAAUCCCGCAUACCAUCAGAUGUGCCCAGAUGGGAGUCGCUUGUUGGUGGGGGAACGGCUCACCAAGGCGAUGAUCCCUAGCUGGUCUGAGAGGAGUACCAGCCACACGGGAACUGAGACACGGUCCAGACUCCUACGUGAGGCAGCAGUGUGGAAUAUUGCACAAUGGGCGCAAGCCUGAUGCAGCCAUGCCGCGUGUAUGAAGAAGGCCUUCGGGUUGUAAAGUACUUUCAGCGGGGAGGCGUUACCCGCAGAAGAAGCACCGGCUAACUCCGUGCCAGCAGCCGCGGUAAUUC